GUACGAGGGGGAAACGACAUCGAAAGCUUGCUUUGAUGGGCGUCGACCGGCGCACGGGUGAGUAACGCGUAUCCAACCUGCCCACCACUUGGGAUAACCUUGCGAAAGUAAGACUAAUACCCAAUGAUAUCCCACGAAGGCAUCCGAAUGGGAUUAAAGAUUUAUCGGUGAUGGAUGGGGAUGCGUCUGAUUAGCUUGUUGGCGGGGUAACGGCCCACCAAGGCAACGAUCAGUAGGGGUUCUGAGAGGAAGGUCCCCCACAUUGGAACUGAGACACGGUCCAAACUCCUACGGGAGGCAGCAGUGAGGAAUAUUGGUCAAUGGGCGAGAGCCUGAACCAGCCAAGUAGCGUGCAGGAUGACGGCCCUAUGGGUUGUAAACUGCUUUUAUAAGGGAAUAAAGUGGGUCUCGUGAGACUUUUUGCAUGUACCUUAUGAAUAAGGACCGGCUAAUUCCGUG
RNAcentral lists this ribosomal RNA (459 nucleotides) under uncultured bacterium. RNAcentral's name for it is "bacterial SSU rRNA". It matches the Rfam family "Bacterial small subunit ribosomal RNA", at positions 61 to 507 of the family's 1533-position model. The record is from RNAcentral.